CACAAGUAUAAAACUAUUGUAUUAUGGCGGCACUUUAUAAAACUAAAGGAACUUGUUUAUUAAUCGAAAACACACGCUAAUUUUCUCUUAUUUAUAAAGCCUAUAUACCGCCGUUUAGAUUUAACUUCAACUCAUAAUCUAUAUUAAAAACUUAAAACAUCAGGUCAAGGUGUAGCUUUUACAUAAGAUUAAAUGAGUUACACUAAAUAAAACUUAAGAAUUUUAAUUUAAAAACUACAAUGAAAAAGAAUUUAAAAGUAAAUUUAAAUUAAAAAUUUAAAUUAAAUCAUCCUAAAAUGUGC
Molecule: ribosomal RNA, 302 nt
Filed under: Drymusa sp. CG313
Lineage: Eukaryota; Metazoa; Arthropoda; Arachnida; Araneae; Drymusidae
Description: partial 12S ribosomal RNA
Source: RNAcentral